This 664-nucleotide ribosomal RNA is filed under the name Escherichia coli. RNAcentral's name for it is "bacterial SSU rRNA". It matches the Rfam family "Bacterial small subunit ribosomal RNA", at positions 858 to 1522 of the family's 1533-position model. The record is from RNAcentral. Lineage: Bacteria; Pseudomonadati; Pseudomonadota; Gammaproteobacteria; Enterobacterales; Enterobacteriaceae.
CGUUAAGUCGACCGCCUGGGGAGUACGGCCGCAAGGUUAAAACUCAAAUGAAUUGACGGGGGCCCGCACAAGCGGUGGAGCAUGUGGUUUAAUUCGAUGCAACGCGAAGAACCUUACCUGGUCUUGACAUCCACGGAAGUUUUCAGAGAUGAGAAUGUGCCUUCGGGAACCGUGAGACAGGUGCUGCAUGGCUGUCGUCAGCUCGUGUUGUGAAAUGUUGGGUUAAGUCCCGCAACGAGCGCAACCCUUAUCCUUUGUUGCCAGCGGUCCGGCCGGGAACUCAAAGGAGACUGCCAGUGAUAAACUGGAGGAAGGUGGGGAUGACGUCAAGUCAUCAUGGCCCUUACGACCAGGGCUACACACGUGCUACAAUGGCGCAUACAAAGAGAAGCGACCUCGCGAGAGCAAGCGGACCUCAUAAAGUGCGUCGUAGUCCGGAUUGGAGUCUGCAACUCGACUCCAUGAAGUCGGAAUCGCUAGUAAUCGUGGAUCAGAAUGCCACGGUGAAUACGUUCCCGGGCCUUGUACACACCGCCCGUCACACCAUGGGAGUGGGUUGCAAAAGAAGUAGGUAGCUUAACCUUCGGGAGGGCGCUUACCACUUUGUGAUUCAUGACUGGGGUGAAGUCGUAACAAGGUAACCGUAGGGGAACCUGCGGUUGGA